CCUACGGGAGGCAGCAGUAGGGAAUAUUGCUCAAUGGGGGAAACUCUGAAGCAGCCACGCCGCGUGGAGGAUGAAGGUUCUCGGAUUGUAAACUCCCUUUUUUAGGGGAGCUAAUGACGGUAUCUGACGAAUAAGAACCGGCUAACUCCGUGCCAGCAGCCGCGGUAAUACGGAGGGUGCCAGCGUUAAUCGGAAUCUAUGGGCGUAAAGGGGGCGUAGGCGGGUUAGCAAGGUAGAUGUGAAAUGCUAGGGCUUAAGCAGAGAACUGCAUGUGAAACUGUUAGACUAGAGUAUGGGAGAGGUAGGCGGAAUUCUUGGUGUAGGGGGAAAAUGCGUAGAGAUCAAGAGGAACACUCAUUGCGAAGGC
Molecule: ribosomal RNA, 367 nt
Filed under: uncultured bacterium
Lineage: Bacteria
Description: partial 16S ribosomal RNA
Rfam family: Bacterial small subunit ribosomal RNA
Source: RNAcentral